This 440-nucleotide ribosomal RNA is filed under the name uncultured bacterium. RNAcentral's name for it is "partial 16S ribosomal RNA". It matches the Rfam family "Bacterial small subunit ribosomal RNA", at positions 338 to 795 of the family's 1533-position model. The record is from RNAcentral.
CCUACGUGAGUCAGCAGUAGGGAAUAUUGCUCAAUGGGGGAAACCCUGAAGCAGCAACGCCGCGUGGAGGAUGAAGGUUUUCGGAUUGUAAACUCCUUUUGUUAGAGAAGAUAAUGACGGUAUCUAACGAAUAAGCACCGGCUAACUCCGUGCCAGCAGCCGCGGUAAUACGGAGGGUGCAAGCGUUACUCGGAAUCACUGGGCGUAAGGAGCGCGUAGGCGGGAUAGCAAGUCAGAUGUGAAAUCCUAUGGCUUAACCAUAGAACUGCAUUUGAAACUGUUAUUCUAGAGGAUGGGAGAGGUAGGUGGAAUUCUUGGUGUAGGGGUAAAAUCCGUAGAGAUCAAGAGGAAUACUCAUUGCGAAGGCGACCUGCUAGAACAUAACUGACGCUGAUGCGCGAAAGCGUGGGGAGCAAACAGGAUUAGAUACCCUAGUAGUC